RNA transcript from Notolabrus celidotus (New Zealand spotty), 2464 nucleotides. It is a transcript of the gene named arginine/serine-rich protein 1, with no coding region annotated. The record is from RefSeq and is a predicted model, not a curated record. The transcript is spliced from 5 exons. Lineage: Eukaryota; Metazoa; Chordata; Actinopteri; Labriformes; Labridae.
CUCGGGAAAGGAGGACGCUGUUCAGAGACCUGCAAACAGCUGGACAAGCAGUCUUUAGCAUGGGCACGUUAUUAAACUUGGACAACUGGGCGAAAGUUAAGAGACUGUUGGAGUUAUUGCACAGAACCGGAGUGUACACAAGAAUAUGAUAAUUGAUCUAAGGACCUGAUUCAUCGACCUGAGGAGGGCAGCAAUACGCCGUUGUUGCGUCUAGCCUGCCUUACUCAAAGAAGAAGAAGAAGGAACAACGUCACGUGACUGGAAUUUUCCAAAGGCUACUAUAUCCGCUGUUCUCAGCUAGCCUCGUGUCAGACUGUGCGACGACGACGGAAGGCUAUAUUGGAGAACAAAGAUACUGAACACUGAGUCUUUGUUAUUACUACCACACUUUAUUACUCGACUUCAGUAAAGCUAUCGUUUCGCGAUACGUAUUGGUGAGAACUUCUGAUAUUUUGACGUGAACACGACGGACUCGAGCUUCAAGCGACCUGACUGUUGUACAAAAAUGGAUUCCAUGGCAAAGGUAAAAGAAUACCACUCUGAAAUGGCACAUGCCCGUCGGUCUGAUGGUAUCGAUGUGAUCUUUGAUAAAAAUAGCCCUUCUUCAUCUGGUUCACGCUCCGGAUCAAGCACCGCGUGUGACAGUGAUCGCUCUCCUGACUCUGGCCACUCCAGAAGACGACAUAGGUCUUCAUCUUCCUCUUCUUCAUCCAAAAGCAGUACCUCCUAUCGGCCCAGUUCCCGCUCUCGCUCUCACCCCCGUUGCCACAGACGUUCCUCUCGCUGCCACUGUGACGUUCAUCUUAAACACGGCAGUGGAAAACCACGAUCCCCAUCACGCCGCUACAAGGAAAAAUCACGCUCGCACAGCCGGGCAACUUUAUCAGACGGGUAUUCCCAUCGCAGACGCAACAGGUCCCGUUCAGGUUCCAGGUCUCCCAGGCGUUGCAGCAGGCCUGCAAGCAAGUCUAUGAGAACCCACAGGAGCCAGUCAAGAUCUUCAGAAAGCUCUGUCAGUUUGAGUUUGCAUGAUAAAAAGGAACUCCUUAAUGCUGCUAAGGCCAAUGCUAUGAAGUUUCUUGGGGUGGAGAAGCUGGACCUUCCUGAUAGCGUAAAACCAAUCCUGUCAGUGCCGCCAGAGACAACUGUUACGCAUCAUUAUACAAAGACUUUUUCACAGGUAGGUGCCUCAGUGUUAAUGUAAGCUAGACUUUGUAACGUUAUAUCAAGUCAUACAAUUUGUGCUAUACAGUCUACCAACCACUAAUUGAUUUGCAAUAUGUGCAAUUGACUAUUGCAGUUUAUCAGUUGGGUUAAUCCUUUAUAGUUUGUGAACCUCAGUCUAUUCUCUACAGUUGCCUGUUGAUAAGCUUGAGGUGCAUGUUGUUUCAUUUCUUUGUUGUGUUAACCUCUGGACCCCUGCGAGAACACACAUACUCUCUGUAUUUAUUCCUGUCUUCAUAGAUAACAUGACAGUGGUCUUCUUCACUCAUCGGCACCUGGGAUUAAAGGGCUGUCAUGUGAUGGGUGACAACAAAAUGUGUUUGUGUGCAAGCAGAGUCCUCCAAUUGCCGAUGGUGCGCAGGGGUGUGGACUGCGUUAUAGUGACUAUUCCUGUCAAGAGAGCUAAAAACAGAUGAAGAACUCCUCCCAAUGUCAAAGAUAAGUUGGUACACGGGCCAUGUGCUGAGGGGCUGGGAAACCUACGCCGCCAUCAUUCUGUCGCUAUAGAAAGAGAAGGCAUCCUUUUUCCUUGCAAUUUUGUGUUCAUUCUGUUUCAAGGUCUGUCUUUGGGAACAUUUAUUUAAUGGGCAGAGCUUAGCCUUUGAAAGCAGUAAGAACGGGGGAAAUAUGCAUUAGAGGUUAAGUUUGUUAAAGCUAAAGUUUACUUUGUCAUCUACGUAAAGUGUCUUUAUUGUAAAGGAAAUGGAAGCUAUUCAUCUAUGAACUUCAGAAACUGUAGAAACUCACCUUUAGUUUCAGUGGCUUGUCUAAAUCUGUUUUUCUUGCUUGUUUUUUUUUUAAUCAGAACAACGAGGAGGAGCCUGAUUAUGUGCCUAGCCCAAAAUUUUCUCUAAAAGGGAAAAUUUCUUUCAGUAUCAAUAAUUCUGUGGUGAAACCAACAGUGAUACCUCCUUCCUGUGCCAAGGUGACUCCGAGAAUGGACAGCUAUGAAAGCAGGAAGCCAUAUGGCCACUGGGUUGCAGUUAAAUCAGGCAGAACCUCCAAAGCACGCAAACAUUCAAUUGCCAUGUCACACUAGAGUGACAAAAUACAUGUACCACUGUAAAUACUGUACAUAUUUUGUAGAAAUCAUAUUUAUUGAUUUAAUUGACAAUGUUCCCUUUCAGAUAUUAAGAAUUAAGUGGGAAGAAGUGAAGAAUUCGUUCAGGUGGGAUUCUUUUUCCUCCACUUGUUUUUUGUGUUUUUCAUUCAUUACAAUAAAGACAACUAUUUGAAAAAA